AAGAUACUCCCUCCGUCCGGAAAUACUUGUCAUCAAAAUGGAUAAAAGGGGAUGUAUCUAGAUGUAUUGUAGUUCGAUGCAUCUCUUUUUAUCCAUUUUGAUGAUAAGUAUUUUUUGACGGAGGGAGUAAUAG
Non-coding RNA from Triticum urartu, 133 nucleotides. Lineage: Eukaryota; Viridiplantae; Streptophyta; Magnoliopsida; Poales; Poaceae. The record is from Rfam.